This 224-nucleotide long non-coding RNA is filed under the name Elaeis guineensis (African oil palm). RNAcentral describes it as "long non-coding RNA (EGUI_LNC002963)". The record is from RNAcentral. Lineage: Eukaryota; Viridiplantae; Streptophyta; Magnoliopsida; Arecales; Arecaceae.
UUCCUCCGCUCUUUUCUUUCUUCCUCUCUUUCCUUCUUUUUUCCUCUCUCUCAUCCGGUGUUCUGAUUUGUUCGAUCAAAUCAUCAUUGGUUUGUCGUCGGUAUAGCUCGGAACGUCCGGAAUCAUCUGAUUUGGAAUGGUUCGGUGAACGUUGAUCCAAAUAAUAUCCCUAUCCAUACUUGUAUUUAUCAAAUAAAAUAAAUAUAGAAUAUAUCGGUAUCUGA